Molecule: RNA transcript, 2540 nt
Organism: Bufo gargarizans (Asiatic toad)
Lineage: Eukaryota; Metazoa; Chordata; Amphibia; Anura; Bufonidae
Gene name: gastrula zinc finger protein XlCGF26.1-like
Exons: 6
Source: RefSeq, a predicted model, not a curated record
CUAGAACUUACCACCAGGAUCACUGAGCUGCUGAGCGGAGAGGUUCCUAUAAGGUGUCAGGAUGUCGCUGUCUAUUUCUCCAUGGAGGAGUGGGAGUAUUUAGAAGAACACAAGGAUCUGUACAAGGACGUCAUAAUGGAGAAUCACCAGUCCCUCACAUCACUGGAUGGAUCCAGUCCUGAGAAAUCCACCAGUGAUAUGCCCCAGUCCUCUGUAUUCCCAGGACUGUCCAGAAGAAAAACCAAAUGUCCCACUGGAUCAUCAGGACAGUUCUGGAGGAACAAUGAUCGGCUUAGGAAAACCUGUAUCAAUAUCAGUGAAAGGUGAAGACACGUUGAGCAGCUCCCAUGGAUACUUCAAUUUAUCUUCCUACCAUGAAAUAGAAGAUAACAAUACUACACACGCUAAUUCAAUAACUCCUAAUGUAUCCUCAGUCUUUCAAAGCGAAGCUCUAUCCACCAAUACCACUGGUCUCAAGAAAAGUUUGUGUAAUCAAUCACUGAUUGGCAAAACAAGAACUAAAAAGAAAUGCGGGAAACAUUUAAAAAAAAAAUCGAAUCUUUCUUUGCAUAAGAGAAAUCACAAAUCAUUUUCAUGCUCUGAAUGUGGGAAAUCUUUUACCAGGAAAUGCAUUCUAGUUGGACAUCAGAUAACUCACACAGGAGAGAAGCCUUAUUCAUGUUCAGAAUGCGGAAAAUCUUUUACCACAAAAUUAAUUCUAGUUGGACAUCAGAGGACUCACACAGGAGAGGAGCUGCAUUCAUGUUCAGAAUGUGGGAAAUGUUUUAGUUAUAAAUCGUACCUUUAUAGACAUCAGAGAACUCACACUGGGGAGAAGCCAUUUCCAUGUCCUGAAUGUGGGAAGUGUUUUAGUCAGAAGUCAUAUCUUGUGGACCAUCUAAGAAUCCACUUAGGGGAGAAGCCAUUUUCAUGUUCAGAAUGUGGGAAGAGUUUUAGUACAAAAUUGUGUCUUGUUAGACAUCAGAAAACUCACACAGGUGAGAAGCCAUUUAUGUGUCCUGAAUGUGGGAAGUGUUUCCAUGUGAAAUCAAGGCUUGUAGAACAUCAAAGAAGUCACACAGGGGAGAAGCCAUUUUCAUGUUCAGAAUGUGGAAAGAGUUUUAGUACAAAAUGUUGUUUGGUUAGACAUCAGAAAACUCACACAGAUGAGAAGUCAUUUAUGUGUCCUGAAUGUGGGAAGUGUUUUCAUCUGAAAUCAAGGCUUGUGGAACAUCAAAGAAGUCACACAGGGGAGAAGCCAUUUUCAUGUCCUGAAUGUGGGAAGUGCUUUAGUCAAAAAUCAUGUCUUGUGGGCCAUCUAAGAAUCCACUCAGGGGAGAAGCCAUUUUCAUGUUCAGAAUGUGGGAAUUGUUUUACCAGUCAGGCAACUUUUAUUCGGCAUCAUAGAACUCACACUGGGGAGAAGCCAUUUUCAUGCCCUGAAUGUGGAAAGUGUUUUAGUCAGAAAUCAACUCUUAUUACACAUCAGAGAACUCACACAGGGGAGAAGCCAUUUAUGUGUCCUGAGUGUGGGAGGUGUUUUGGUGGUAAAACAAACCUUAUACAACAUCUUAGAAGUCACACAGGGGAGAAGCCAUUUUCAUGCUCACAAUGUGGGAAAAGUUUUAGUACAAAAUUGUGUCUUGUUAGACAUCAGAAAAGUCACACAGGAGGAGAAGCAAUUUAUGUGCCCUGAAUGUGGGAAGUGUUUUGAUGUAGAAUUGAUGCUUGUAGAACAUCAAAGAAUUCACACAGGAGAUAAGACAUUUGUUUGCUGAAUGUGGUAAGUAUUUUAGUGUGAAAUCAGUGCUUAUACAACAUCUUAGAAGUCACACAGGGGAGAACCCAUUUUCAUGUUUACAGUGUGAAAAAUGUUUUUGUCAGAAAACACGACUUGUGACCCAUCUAAGAAAUCAUUUAGGUGAGAAGCCAUUUUCAUGCUUAGAAUGUGGGAAAUGUUUUAUUCUGAAAUCUUAUCUUGUUACACACCAGAGAAGUCACAGAGGGGAGAAGCCAUUUAUGUGUCCUGAAUGAGGGACAUGUUUCAGUGAGAAAUCGCAACUUGUUACACAUCAGUGAGUUCACACAAAGGAGAAGCCAUUUUCAUGCUCAGAAUGCGGUAAAUGUUUUAGUCUGAAAUCACAUCUUGCUGCACAUCAAAGAAUUCACACAGGGGAGAAGCCAUUUAUGUGUUCUGAAUGUGGGAAGUGUUUUGGUCUGAAGACAUUGCUUAUAGAACAUCUAAGGACUCACACAGGAGAGAAGCCAUUUUCAUGUUCAAAAUGUGAAAGACUCCCUUUAAGUCAUCAAUCAAAAUUUCUAGACAUGAGAGAACUCACUCAGAGAAGAAGCCAUUGUGAGCGUAAGGUGGUCAAUGUUAACAUUUUAUUCAUAUAGUACAUAUAAUAUCACUGAUUUAUAAUGCAUAUAACGGCAUAAAUUGAACCUUCAUUUUUUAAUCUGUGUAUCCUCUGUGAACUUUGUCAACUAUUCCACUGUUUCAAAACAACUUAGCCUAGAACAUAUCUGUAAAGAAUAAA